GAUUUCAGCCAGGCUGUGCCAGGGAGGGCAGAGGGCACCCCGGUCAGUCAUAGGGGAUGCAGCUGGGAACACAGCAGGGUCCCUGCCGGAUGCUCAGAGUUUAACGGGGAGACAGAGGCCCAAAGAGCCACACAGAGGGUUAAGAAAAAAAACAAACCCUUCCAGUCUGAUCAGUGACUGGAGAGCUCCAAGGAAAGUCUCUCAGUGACCUGGCUGCUGGCACCAUGGACUCAGAAAAGAAACGCUUUACUGAAGAGGCCACCAAAUACUUCCGGGACAGAGUCAGCCCAGUGCAUCUGCAAAUCCUGCUGACUAACAAUGAAGCCU
This 327-nucleotide small RNA is filed under the name Pan troglodytes (chimpanzee). RNAcentral's name for it is "processed transcript". The record is from RNAcentral. Lineage: Eukaryota; Metazoa; Chordata; Mammalia; Primates; Hominidae.